This 369-nucleotide ribosomal RNA is filed under the name uncultured bacterium. Its description in RNAcentral is "partial 16S ribosomal RNA". It matches the Rfam family "Bacterial small subunit ribosomal RNA", at positions 975 to 1344 of the family's 1533-position model. The record is from RNAcentral.
CAGGGCUUGACAUCCCUCUGCCCGGCAUAGAGAUAUGCCUUUCCCUUUGGGGACAGAGUGACAGGUGGUGCAUGGUUGUUGUCAGCUUGUGUUGUGAGAUGUUGGGUUCAGUCCCGCAACGAGCGCAACCCUUGUCUUUAGUUGCCAGCAGGUGAAGCUGGGCACUUUAGAGAGACAGCCGGUGAAAGCCGGAGGAAGGUGGGGACGAUGUCAAAUCAUCAUGCCCCUUAUGUCCUGGGUUACACACGUGUUACAAUGGCUGGUACAACGGGUUGGGAAGCCGGGAGGUGGAGCCAUUCCCUAAAACCCNUUUUCAGUUCGGAUGGUAUNNUGCAAUUGGCNUANGGAAGCNGGAAUNGUUNGUANUCG